Molecule: long non-coding RNA, 896 nt
Organism: Brachypodium distachyon (stiff brome)
Lineage: Eukaryota; Viridiplantae; Streptophyta; Magnoliopsida; Poales; Poaceae
Exons: 3
Source: RefSeq, a predicted model, not a curated record
CCCAGGAGUUCCUCUGUGAUGGACAACCAAGCAUCACACGACAACAAGCAAAGUGGGGCUCCGAGGAGUUCCUCUGAGAUGGACAACCAAGCAUCAUGCGGCAUCAAGCAAAGUGGGGCGCUGAGCAACAUAGAUGACCGUAGUUGGAUGUACAAAGAGAGAAAAGGAAGGUUGAUCACUCAAGAUUGGCGAAAUGGGUUAGAUAAAUUUCUGGAUCAUGCGUUCUCAAUGUCCGGUGCUUCUGUUGAUGGAGAAGCUUGGAAGGAGUUCGACAAAGAAUAUGAAGAGUUUUCUAAAGAUGUCAGGAAUGUAAGGCUAUGUCUAGCAACCGAUGGCUUCACACCUUUUGGUAUUACAGCAGCCUCAUGCUCUUGUUGGCCGGUAUUUGUUGUACCUUAUAAUCUCCCACCAGAAAUGUGCAUAAAGCAAAGCAACCUGAUACUUGCACUAGUUAUUCCUGGUCCAGAUCAUCCACAGGCUAGAGGAAAUUGAUUGACCCCCUUCUGCACUCAAUGGGAAAAGCACCCGUACACUGCUCGUGAUCCAUCAACAGUGCAAAGUGCAUUACUACGCCAGUGUUAUCCAGAGCCAAUUGGUCCCGAUGAUGAUAAGAAACCGGUGUUGUCUUGGGACGACUACAAGCGCCCCCCUAGUGAAGGAGCAAGAACAGCAACAUCUAAAGUUGUUGAAAAUUUCUGGGUAAUUACAUCUAUAUGUAUGUAUGGAUUUUAUAGGAGCUUUACGAAUUCUCAAACAUAAAUAAAAUUACUGUACUAGUUCAGAAGCCAAAUUUCUAUAUAGAAUAUCAUUGUUCAAGAUUAUUGCCCUCUCGGCUGUGGGGUUUCUGAAACUGUAGACUAUCUAGUUAACUUUAGUUCUACAGUUCUUUGUUGUCC